UUGACCUUCUGAGGGGCUGAUCAGAAAUCAACCUUCGAUUUUGGCCUUGUCUUUGCAGGAACUACAACACAUCAGCUUGGGGGAAUCUGCAACACCAAUAUUCAAUAAAUCCACACUUAGAACCGCAAAUGCCGAUGUGAAGGUCAACUUAUUGAUUGCUAUGUCUGUAAGACUGUCCAUAUGAAUUUACUGAUAUAACCUUUCAUUAUUAAGAAAUUAAAUAAUUCCACCAAACUAUGUUCUUCAAGAUCCCCAGAGAACUUUCGACUUUGUCAAGUCUUGAUUGUCUUUGGCAUUUUAUGAUUAUUUUUCAUAUGAAUUUCAAUGGAUUGAAAUUCAUGGAAUCUUUUUCGUGGGGUUGAGCUCUUUGUGUGACUUUUUGGGACAUCAAGAUUCAACCAUCAUCGUCAUUCUAUACAACUUCUUGCCGACGCCCAUCAACUGUUCACUCCAAGCUUCUAGAGUCUUGAUCUAGGCGUAGAGAGAUUAAACAGGCCUCGCACUUACUUUGACAGCAAUUGGACUGGCCUAGGAUUAAUGGGUGUCUUUCUCGUGGAACUUUACAACAUUAUGUAGUGGCAAUUCAUUAAGAGUUAUAGUGUCAAUUGAAGCAGAAUAACGUUGUUAUUGCUGUACCAUAGCAUUAUUUCUUAUUAAUAUUCUUUUUAUAGUGUAGCGAGAGAGGUGUGUGUUUCAUGUAAAAUCUGCUUAAAAAAAGAUAUAUAUUCUGCCAGUACAGCAAUAACUAUUUUACAUUUUAUUGGUCGAGAUUCAAGGAAAGAAUAUAUAAGGCAUCACAAUCUUUUUUUUAUUAUUUUACAAAACGAGAAUGAUGCGUCGAUGUUGAGAGUAAUUAAGACAAGCUCUAUGUUUUGCUUCAUGCCACUGAGCAUUCCGGAGGCGGUCCUUGUGGGAAUCGCUUGGUGUCAGUGCAAUAGUUAUAAAUCAUGUAGUUCUUUUGCACCCAUUUUAUUCUUCCUUGGCCUGUGCUACCCAGUGACUGUGAUAGCCAAGAGUUACUGGAGGAGCCAGAGGAGGAGCAAGAGGAGGAGCCAGAGGUCCAAGUGCAUGCUUGAGCAUUAAAGUUCCUGUAAGAAGCUGUAAACGGUGCUUGGCUCCAAUCGGUUUUGAUAAGACCUCCUCUUGUAGCCCAGUCAUCUGCAUUCCAGAGGCUUGAGUAUAUCCACAUUGGUUGGCUCUUUGGGUAUGGGAUGC
Populus trichocarpa (black cottonwood) is the source of this 1215-nucleotide long non-coding RNA. RefSeq lists it as uncharacterized. The record is from RefSeq and is a predicted model, not a curated record. NCBI's taxonomy places the organism in Eukaryota, Viridiplantae, Streptophyta, Magnoliopsida, Malpighiales, Salicaceae. The transcript is spliced from 2 exons.